RNAcentral lists this long non-coding RNA (415 nucleotides) under Glycine max (soybean). RNAcentral describes it as "long non-coding RNA (GMAX_LNC003971)". Lineage: Eukaryota; Viridiplantae; Streptophyta; Magnoliopsida; Fabales; Fabaceae. The record is from RNAcentral.
UGAGAGUCCAAAAACCUUGACGGUUCGAGCUGAAAUCGCGGCUUUGGUUCAGACUUCAGAGCUUGAGGGACAAAUCAAGGUGCUUCAUUUCUUCUUGAUUAGUAGUAGUCUUCAAACAAGUUCCACCACUAGCCACACAUCCACCGAUUUCUUUAUUACUGGCUGCAGAAUUCAACAUGGUAUUACUACUAUUAACUAUUAUUUCAAACCUACCAACACUGCUUUGUGAUGCUGAUAAUGCUGAUUUUGUUCUGUGAUGAAAAUCUGGCACAGCAAGCUUUGCUAUUCCGGGUUGUUGAUCAAUGAUUGGCCUUGACCAACCAUGAUGGUGUGCAUAAGAGCCUCCAAAACCAUUCACAUGAUGAUGAUGAGAAGAAGAAGAAGGCUUCUGGAUCAAGGAGUGUGCCUGAAUUCC